CGGGUGAUUAGAGAGAUGGUAAUAAUAUAAUAAUAAUAAUAAUAAUAAUAAUCGUUUAUUCAUACUUUUGUAGCAUAAGCUAAAUUACAGUAUGUCGGCCGAUGCACACUACACUUAACAAUGUAUAAAUAAAUACUGGAAUAACUACUGGAAACGAAUUGUGAUAAAGUUAUUAUACCUUUCAGUUACACAUCUGGACAUCUGGCUUUGGGAAGAGCAUUCAUGGGCAUUUUUCAUUGAACUAGUAUUGCGAUGCUUAUUUACGGCGGAGUGAUUUCUCAUUCAUGUAUGUCUUUCCUCUCGCCGAUUUCUGGUAUUGCUCGGGCAAUACCGGCAAUACCGGUUCCGCGGUCCCUGCAUCACUAUUUUUUUCCUGUUCAUCAUAGUUCAAAGUAUAUAUUUUGCCAUCAUCACUCUGAUCUUUAAAAGCAAUAGAUGCAAUGUCCAGACCAAAUGUCUUUGAGAACCAGAGAGCACAUUGAGCUCUCUCUUUUAGCUGUUUAAGUUUUCUUGAUUUUUGUUUUGUACCAACCUCAGAAAUCUUUUUUGAAGAACAACACAAUUUUUCAUCCCCUUCCUCUAAUGCCAGUGCAUAAGCUUUGAGUUCUUCAUUUAGUGCUUCUAAAACUUCAAUUUCUUCACAAUUUGUUUGUUGAACUUGCUUAAGCUCUUCCAAAAGUGUUUUUUUUCUGCAACUCCAAAUCAGUGCAUUUAUUUUUCCAUUCUUGAAGUUCCAGAUUCACAUCUUCCUAUUCAUCUCUGAGCUUUGAGAUAGAUUCAAGCUCUUUUGAAAGGAUACUGAAUUCUGCAUAUCUUUUAUCCAGUUCCCUUCUGUUCCUUCCACCUUUGCACUUCUUAUAGAGGGAGAGAACUUUUCCAGUUUCCCUUCUUAGAUUUUCUUCCAACCGUCCACUUGAUCCCUUUGCAAUAGCCCAACAGUGUCCAGGUACUGUGGCAUUGAGCAGGUCUGUUAGACUAUAACAGCUUCCAUCUGAGGUACUUUUUUUUGAAAAAUUAUUCCAUAUUUUGAACAAAGGAAAUGGAACCUUAACAGUGAAAGCAACUUCAAAUAGCUUUGCAGAUUCUCCAGUUAAAUAAGCAAAUGAACUCCUUGGAUUAAUCUCUGAAUCAAAUUUUAAUUUCCAAUCUAUUGCUUGUUUAGAGUAUUCGGAUAAAAUCUCAGACAUAUUUUGUUGCUCUUAGUUAGCUCUGCUAGCUCAGUGUUGGAAUUUUAUUAACCACAGGAAUCCCAUUAUUUAUUUGAUUAAGUAAAAAGCAAUAUAAUGUACAAAAAUAUUCGAGAAUCUAAAUAUUAGAUAUUGUUUUGAAGGAUCAUGAAUGCAAUGAGUACACUGGCCUUGAUAACUUCGUCCUACAUGGCGAAUUUAUUAUAAUUUAUUAUACUUUCUCUUGCCUCUCUUAUACCCCCACGAAUCUUUUUUGCACCUUUUAGGCCUGGUUACAUAGGCUUAAAAUGGCGGAGAAAGAAGUGGUUUAGUAGCAUUUACUCGAAGAUUUCAGAGGUUUUUCUCAAGCUACAAACCGCGGUACCUCAGAUUCAGAUAGCAAUACUUAAAGAAUGAAAUUCAGGGACUUCGACAGAGUUUUGCCCGUUCCAAAUGAUUAUCAAUUGCCAUUAAAAAUGGCUGUUUCACGAGAUCAUGCUGCCUUCGAUAACAUGGGAAGACCGCGUAAUCGAUUCAUCGAUGUGCUGCAACAUCAUUUCAUGUAUUUGGUGAACUACUAUUACAAGUUUGAAGAAAAUCCACGGAGAGUUUUAUGGUAUAUUUAGCUAUAAUAUUGCCCGAUCAAAACUUCCAUGAAAGCCUCAAAAACCAAUCCUGACAUGCGCCGUAAAAAUAGCCGCCAUAUUGUCCCUGAUUUUUGGUAAUGCUUCAUCCUCCAUGCGUCUGCUUACAAAAGGAGCGUAGACAAUGCAGCACUCUUGGGUCUGUGAAGUGCUCAAUGCACAAAGAACACGUGACUUCAUCCUCCAUGCGUCUGCUCACAAAAGGAGCGUAGACAAUGCAGCACUCUUGGGUCGGUGAAGUGCUCAAUGCACAAAGAACACGUGACUUCAUCCUCCAUGCGCCUGCUUACAAAAGGAGUGUAGAGAAUGCAACACUCUUGGGUCUGUGAAGUGCUCAAUGCACAAAGAACACGUGACUUCAUCCUCCAUGCGUCUGCUUACAAAAGGAGCGUAGACAAUGCAGCACUCUUGGGUCUGUGAAGUGCUCAAUGCACAAAGAACACGUGACUUCAUCCUCCAUGCGUCUGCUCACAAAAGGAGCGUAGACAAUGCAGCACUCUUGGGUCGGUGAAGUGCUCAAUGCACAAGGAAUAUGUGACUUCAUCCUCCAUGCGUCUGCUUACAAAAGGAGUGUAGACAAUGCAGCACUCUUGGGUCGGUGAAGUGCUCAAUGCACAAAGAACACGUGACUUCAUCCUCCAUGCGCCUGCUUACAAAAGGAGCGUAGACAAUGCAGCACUCUUGGGUCUGUGAAGUGCUCAAUGCACAAAGAACACGUGACUUCAUCCUCCAUGCGUCUGCUUACAAAAGGAGCGUAGACAAUGCAGCACUCUUGGGUCGGUGAAGUGCUCAAUGCACAAAGAACACGUGACUUCAUCCUCCAUGCGCCUGCUUACAAAAGGAGUGUAGAGAAUGCAACACUCUUGGGUCUGUGAAGUGCUCAAUGCACAAAGAACACGUGACUUCAUCCUCCAUGCGUCUGCUUACAAAAGGAGCGUAGACAAUGCAGCACUCUUGGGUCUGUGAAGUGCUCAAUGCACAAAGAACACGUGACUUCAUCCUCCAUGCGUCUGCUUACAAAAGGAGCGUAGACAAUGCAGCACUCUUGGGUCUGUGAAGUGCUCAAUGCACAAGGAAUAUGUGACUUCAUCCUCCAUGCGUCUGCUUACAAAAGGAGCGUAGACAGUGCAACACUCUUGGGUCGGUGAAGUGCUCAAUGCACAAAGAACACGUGACUUCAUCCUCCAUGCGCCUGCUUACAAAAGGAGCGUAGACAAUGCAGCACUCUUGGGUCUGUGAAGUGCUCAAUGCACAAAGAACACGUGACUUCAUCCUCCAUGCGUCUGCUUACAAAAGGAGCGUAGACAAUGCAGCACUCUUGGGUCGGUGAAGUGCUCAAUGCACAAAGAACACGUGACUUCAUCCUCCAUGCGCCUGCUUACAAAAGGAGUGUAGAGAAUGCAACACUCUUGGGUCUGUGAAGUGCUCAAUGCACAAAGAACACGUGACUUCAUCCUCCAUGCGUCUGCUUACAAAAGGAGCGUAGACAAUGCAGCACUCUUGGGUCUGUGAAGUGCUCAAUGCACAAAGAACACGUGACUUCAUCCUCCAUGCGUCUGCUCACAAAAGGAGCGUAGACAAUGCAGCACUCUUGGGUCGGUGAAGUGCUCAAUGCACAAGGAAUAUGUGACUUCAUCCUCCAUGCGUCUGCUUACAAAAGGAGUGUAGACAAUGCAGCACUCUUGGGUCGGUGAAGUGCUCAAUGCACAAAGAACACGUGACUUCAUCCUCCAUGCGCCUGCUUACAAAAGGAGCGUAGACAAUGCAGCACUCUUGGGUCUGUGAAGUGCUCAAUGCACAAAGAACACGUGACUUCAUCCUCCAUGCGUCUGCUUACAAAAGGAGCGUAGACAAUGCAGCACUCUUGGGUCGGUGAAGUGCUCAAUGCACAAAGAACACGUGACUUCAUCCUCCAUGCGCCUGCUUACAAAAGGAGUGUAGAGAAUGCAACACUCUUGGGUCUGUGAAGUGCUCAAUGCACAAAGAACACGUGACUUCAUCCUCCAUGCGUCUGCUUACAAAAGGAGCGUAGACAAUGCAGCACUCUUGGGUCUGUGAAGUGCUCAAUGCACAAAGAACACGUGACUUCAUCCUCCAUGCGUCUGCUUACAAAAGGAGCGUAGACAAUGCAGCACUCUUGGGUCUGUGAAGUGCUCAAUGCACAAGGAAUAUGUGACUUCAUCCUCCAUGCGUCUGCUUACAAAAGGAGCGUAGACAAUGCAACACUCUUGGGUCGGUGAAGUGCUCAAUGCACAAAGAACACGUGACUUCAUCCUCCAUGCGCCUGCUUACAAAAGGAGCGUAGACAAUGCAGCACUCUUGGGUCUGUGAAGUGCUCAAUGCACAAAGAACACGUGACUUCAUCCUCCAUGCGUCUGCUUACAAAAGGAGCGUAGACAAUGCAGCACUCUUGGGUCUGUGAAGUGCUCAAUGCACAAGGAAUAUGUGACUUCAUCCUCCAUGCGCCUGCUUACAAAAGGAGCGUAGACAAUGCAACACUCUUGGGUCUGUGAAGUGCUCAAUGCACAAAGAACACGUGACUUCAUCCUCCAUGCGCCUGCUUACAAAAGGAGCGUAGACAAUGCAACACUCUUGGGUCGGUGAAGUGCUCAAUGCACAAGGAAUAUGUGACUUCAUUCUCCAUGCGCUUGCUCACAAAAGGAGCGUAGACAAUGCAGCAGGGCAGUAUUUCAGUCUUCCUGUCUAAGAAAGCCCUUUGUGCGCAGACUGAAGUAUAAAACCAACUUUCGCCGUAAACACAACCGUUGCACACUGCCAAAA
Nematostella vectensis (starlet sea anemone) is the source of this 4591-nucleotide long non-coding RNA. RefSeq lists it as uncharacterized. The record is from RefSeq and is a predicted model, not a curated record. The transcript has 2 exons. NCBI's taxonomy places the organism in Eukaryota, Metazoa, Cnidaria, Anthozoa, Actiniaria, Edwardsiidae.